ACUCCUACGGGAGGCAGCAGUGGGGAAUAUUGGACAAUGGGCGGAAGCCUGAUCCAGCAACGCCGCGUGAGGGAUGACGGCCUUCGGGUUGUAAACCUCUUUCAGUAGGGACGAAGCGCAAGUGACGGUACCUACAGAAGAAGCACCGGCCAACUACGUGCCAGCAGCCGCGGUAAUACGUAGGGUGCGAGCGUUGUCCGGAAUUAUUGGGCGUAAAGGGCUCGUAGGCGGUUUGUCGCGUCGGGAGUGAAAACACCGGGCUUAACUCGGUGCUUGCUUUC
Molecule: ribosomal RNA, 281 nt
Filed under: uncultured bacterium
Lineage: Bacteria
Description: partial 16S ribosomal RNA
Rfam family: Bacterial small subunit ribosomal RNA
Source: RNAcentral